RNAcentral lists this signal recognition particle RNA (96 nucleotides) under Candidatus Cloacimonadota bacterium. Its description in RNAcentral is "signal recognition particle sRNA small type". It matches the Rfam family "Bacterial small signal recognition particle RNA". From Rfam's summary of the family: The signal recognition particle (SRP) is a universally conserved ribonucleoprotein involved in the co-translational targeting of proteins to membranes. Archaeal SRP consists of a 7S RNA and homologues of the eukaryotic SRP19 and SRP54 proteins. The record is from RNAcentral. Lineage: Bacteria; Pseudomonadati; Candidatus Cloacimonadota.
UGCCAGGUACGGUCAAUGUCCGAGUGUGAAUCAUGUCAGAUCGGGAACGAAGCAGCAUUAAGCAAAUCCGGAUAUGUGUGCUGCUACCUGGCAUUU